GACGAACGCUGGCGGCGUGCCUAAUACAUGCAAGUAGAACGCUGAAGGAGGAGCUUGCUUCUCUGGAUGAGUUGCGAACGGGUGAGUAACGCGUAGGUAACCUGCCUGGUAGCGGGGGAUAACUAUUGGAAACGAUAGCUAAUACCGCAUAACAGUAGAUAUCGCAUGAUAUCUACUUGAAAGGUGCAAUUGCAUCACUACCAGAUGGACCUGCGUUGUAUUAGCUAGUUGGUGAGGUAACGGCUCACCAAGGCGACGAUACAUAGCCGACCUGAGAGGGUGAUCGGCCACACUGGGACUGAGACACGGCCCAGACUCCUACGGGAGGCAGCAGUAGGGAAUCUUCGGCAAUGGACGGAAGUCUGACCGAGCAACGCCUCGUGAGUGAAGAAGGUUUUCGGAUCGUAAAGCUCUGUUGUAAGAGAAGAACGAGUGUGAGAGUGGAAAGUUCACACUGUGACGGUAUCUUACCAGAAAGGGACGGCUAACUACGUG
This 495-nucleotide ribosomal RNA is filed under the name uncultured bacterium. RNAcentral's name for it is "partial 16S ribosomal RNA". It matches the Rfam family "Bacterial small subunit ribosomal RNA", at positions 28 to 507 of the family's 1533-position model. The record is from RNAcentral.